RNAcentral lists this ribosomal RNA (568 nucleotides) under Vishniacozyma victoriae. RNAcentral's name for it is "partial large subunit ribosomal RNA". It matches the Rfam family "Eukaryotic large subunit ribosomal RNA", at positions 97 to 655 of the family's 3401-position model. The record is from RNAcentral. Lineage: Eukaryota; Fungi; Basidiomycota; Tremellomycetes; Tremellales; Bulleribasidiaceae.
CCGGGAUGAAGCUCAAAUUUAAAAUCUGGCGUCUUUCAGGCGUCCGAGUUGUAAUCUAUAGAGGCGUUUUCCGCGCCGGACCGCGUCCAAGUCUCUUGGAAUAGAGUAUCAAAGAGGGUGACAAUCCCGUACUUGACGCGACAACCGGUGCUCUGUGAUACGUUCUCAAUGAGUCGAGUUGUUUGGGAAUGCAGCUCUAAAUGGGUGGUAAAUUCCAUCUAAGGCUAAAUAUUGGCGAGAGACCGAUAGCGAACAAGUACCGUGAGGGAAAGAUGAAAAGCACUUUGGAAAGAGAGUUAAACAGCACGUGAAAUUGUUAAAAGGGAAACGAUUGAAGUCAGUCGUGUGAAAGGUAUUCAGCCGUCUCUGGCGGUGUAUUUGCCUUUCACGGGUCAACAUCAGUUUGAUCCGGUAGAAAAAGGCGGGAGGAAGGUGGCACCCUCGGGUGUGUUAUAGCCUCCUGUCAUAUGUGCCGGACCAGACUGAGGAACGCAGCUUGCCGCAAGGCCGGGGUUCGCCCACGUACAAGCUUAGGAUGUUGACAUAAUGGCUUUAAACGACCCGUCUU